CCUACGGGUGGCAGCAGUAGGGAAUCUUCCGCAAUGGACGAAAGUCUGACGGAGCGACGCCGCGUGAGCGAAGAAGGUCUUCGGAACGAAAAGCACUGUUGUCGGGGAAGAACAAGUACGGUAGGAAAUGGCCGUACCUUGACGGUACCCGACGAGAAAGCCACGGCUAACUAAAUGCGAGCAGCCGGGGUAAUACGUAGGUGGCAAGCGUUGUCGGGAAUUAUGGGGCUUAAAGCGCGCGCAGACGGUCCUUUAAGUCUGAUGUGAAAUCGUGCGGUUCAACCACAAGCGGUGAUUGGAAAAUGGGGGUCUUGAGUGCAGAAUAGGAAAGCGGGAUUACAGGUUUAUGGGUGUAAUGCGUAGAGAUGUGGGGGGACUCGUGUGGCGAAAGAGAGUUUCCUGUCUGUUACUGACGCUGAGGCGCUAAAGAGUGGGAAGCAAACAGGAUUAGAAACCCGGUAGUC
RNAcentral lists this ribosomal RNA (464 nucleotides) under uncultured bacterium. RNAcentral describes it as "bacterial SSU rRNA". It matches the Rfam family "Bacterial small subunit ribosomal RNA", at positions 338 to 795 of the family's 1533-position model. The record is from RNAcentral.